RNAcentral lists this ribosomal RNA (468 nucleotides) under uncultured bacterium. RNAcentral's name for it is "partial 16S ribosomal RNA". It matches the Rfam family "Bacterial small subunit ribosomal RNA", at positions 28 to 507 of the family's 1533-position model. The record is from RNAcentral.
GACGAACGCUGGCGGCGUGCUUAACACAUGCAAGUCGAACGGAAAGGCCCUGCUGUUGUGGGGUGCUCGAGUGGCGAACGGGUGAGUAACACGUGAGUAACCUGCCCUUGACUUUGGGAUAACUGCAGGAAACUGGGGCUAAUACCGGAUAGGAGCUCCUGCUGCAUGGUGGGGGUUGGAAAGUUUCGGCGGUUGGGGAUGGACUCGCGGCUUAUCAGCUUGUUGGUGGGGUAGUGGCUUACCAAGGCUUUGACGGGUAGCCGGCCUGAGAGGGUGACCGGCCACAUUGGGACUGAGAUACGGCCCAGACUCCUACGGGAGGCAGCAGUGGGGAAUAUUGCACAAUGGGCGGAAGCCUGAUGCAGCAACGCCGCGUGCUGGAUGACGGCCUUCGGGUUGUAAACCGCUUUCGCCUGUGACGAAGCGUGAGUGACGGUAAUGUGUAAAGAAGCAACGGCUAACUACGUG